AAGCCCCGGUACCACCUCUGGUACUUCUUCAAAUUUGCAAUUUGAUGUGGAUCACCACUGGACU
RNAcentral lists this transfer RNA (64 nucleotides) under Delma hebesa. Its description in RNAcentral is "tRNA-Cys". The record is from RNAcentral. Lineage: Eukaryota; Metazoa; Chordata; Lepidosauria; Squamata; Pygopodidae.